AUUAACAUAGCAUACAAAAAUGCAGAAAACUUAAGAUUUUCAGAAGUACUGUUAAAA
RNAcentral lists this transfer RNA (57 nucleotides) under Oribatula sp. XFX. RNAcentral describes it as "tRNA-Leu". The record is from RNAcentral. Lineage: Eukaryota; Metazoa; Arthropoda; Arachnida; Sarcoptiformes; Oribatulidae.